GUGCCAGCAGCCGCGGUAAUACGGAGGGGGCCAGCGUUGUUCGGAAUCAUUGGGCGUAAAGGGCGCGUAGGCGGCCGGGUAAGUCUGACGUGAAAUCCCUUGGCUUAACCAAGGAAUUGCGUCUUAAACUGUCUGGCUUGAGUCCGGGAGAGGGUAGUGGAAUUCCCAGUGUAGCGGUGAAAUGCGUAGAUAUUGGGAGGAACACCGGUGGCGAAGGCGGCUACCUGGACCGGUACUGACGCUGAGGCGCGAAAGCUAGGGUAGCAAACAGGAUUAGAAACCCCUGUAGUCC
RNAcentral lists this ribosomal RNA (292 nucleotides) under uncultured bacterium. Its description in RNAcentral is "partial 16S ribosomal RNA". It matches the Rfam family "Bacterial small subunit ribosomal RNA", at positions 505 to 796 of the family's 1533-position model. The record is from RNAcentral.